ACCAUGUCCUCAUAUAUAGACCAUGACAAGGAAAUGCCAAACAAAUAUUAUACCUUUGAUUUUCCAUUAUAGCAUUAUUGUAUCAAGGUUCAAGACACGCACUUUAACACAGGAAACAUUCAUAGUAGACGAUGACAAUAGACAACGAUUAGACUUAGAACUCAACUGAACACAUUAUCAUGGAGGGACAAAAUGGUCGAUUUAAUAUGCAAACAUUUUUAACUCAACAAAUAGGAUUACUGAAGUAGCAAACAUAAAUAUUGUACAUGCUUCCGGGGUACAUUCUAUUCAGAGGCACGGUGUGUCUAAAUAGUCUUUUAUGAGAUAAUGGAAUUUUGGGUAAUUUAAGUGUGUAAGUACAAUAGCCUUAUUUUUCAAUCACAAAGCACGGUAAUAUUCUAACCUUACAUCAUAUGAUUGCAUACAAUGAUCCUCUCUUUUAGUGUACUAAAUGUUAGAUUUGGGCUGCAGUAUUGCUACUUUUGCAAUACGCUUUUGCUACUACUUUUUUAAAUUAUAUUCUGGGGUCUUGAUAUUAAAUUUAUUACCCAAUUUAAUGGAACUCAGAAAUUAAAAAAAAAAAGAAUUAAAUGUUUUUACUGGCGCCUAAACAUUACUUUUUUCAUGUCAUGGUCACUCUGCAGACUAUUAUUAUUAUUAUUAUUGCCAUUUAGACUAGUGUAUAAUUAGUUUGUUAGUUCAUAAUUAUAGAUUUUAAAAUCCUUAUAGUCUUGUUUAUUUAAGGAUGUAUUGCCAGAAAUACAAAACGAAUAAUCAUUCAUUAUACUUAAAAAUUGAUUUUCUGCAUACAAUUAUAUUUAUGUGGGAUUUGUAAUGUUAUUAGUAUCUGUAGUGUUCCAAGUUUGUAUGCAGAAAAUACAUUUUUACAUUGUCACAUGAUCUAAAUCUGUAUUGCAGUAUGUUUUUAUUACUAGGAACCCAGCCUUGUGUAUUUGUUGUAAGCACUGUUUUAAUCACUUAUGGAUCAAUGAUUCCAUAACAUGUUUUUAAGACUCCUAUUCUGAAGUGGAAAGUCAGACUCCCUUAACAAAAGCAGAAAUGAAAACGUGUGGAUGACAAACAAGAAGAAAUUGAUUUUGAUUAUGGCUAACAUUGAAAUUUAAAUGGACACACCAAGCACCAGAACAACUUUAGCUUAAUGAAGUGAUUUCUGUGUAUAUAUUAUGACCCUACAGCCUCACUGUUUAAUUAUCUGCCAUUUAGCACUUUGUUUAAGCAGCCCUAGCCACACCCUGGCUGAAAAUCAUAUUAAUUGUCUAUCCAAUUCCUUUGACCCCUUAAGGAUCAAACUUCUGGAAUAAAAAGGAAUCAUGACAUGACACACAUGUCAUGUGUCCUUAAGGGGUUAAAGAGAAAUCUAAUUUUUAGGCUUCUUUUAUAGCACAAUGUUUUUAGUUUAGAAUGUCGUAUCUCUUUGUGUAUUGCCGGGUUGAGUCUGCAACAGUCUCCUAUGUGUAAUUAAAGUUCUAUUAACAGUUUAGGAUAUGAAAACUUCUAAAUGAACCACGCAGUGCUGCAAUAUCUAAAUAAAUUAUUUUUCCAUGGAGGCUGUGAGUUACCGUCAUGGGGUAUGUGGCUACAGCUUAAAAACCAGAAACAAAUGGGAUUUAAUUCUUAACUAGCAGAGAAUUGAGCAGUGAGACUGCAGGUGCAUGAUCUAUACACCAAAAACACUUAUGCUAAAAAUGUUAUGAAGCUUAGGUUACUCUCUAAUAGUGAUGUCCCGAACUGUUCGCCACGGACUCAUCAUUGAGUAAACUUUGACCCUGUACCUCACAGUCAGCAGACAC
This is a non-coding RNA of Pelobates cultripes (western spadefoot toad), 1811 nucleotides long. The record is from the annotation of a GenBank genome assembly. Lineage: Eukaryota; Metazoa; Chordata; Amphibia; Anura; Pelobatidae.